Molecule: ribosomal RNA, 398 nt
Filed under: uncultured bacterium
Lineage: Bacteria
Description: bacterial SSU rRNA
Rfam family: Bacterial small subunit ribosomal RNA
Source: RNAcentral
GGAAGUGGGGGAUAACGUAGCGAAAGUUACGCUAAUACCGCAUAUUCUGUGAGCAGGAAAGAGGGGGAUCUUCGGACCUCUUGCUUUCGGAGCGGCCGAUGUCAGAUUAGCUAGUUGGUGAGGUAAAGGCUCACCAAGGCGACGAUCUGUAGUGGGUCUGAGAGGAUGAUCCGCCACACUGGAACUGAGACACGGUCCAGACUCCUACGGGAGGCAGCAGUGGGGAAUUUUGGACAAUGGGCGCAAGCCUGAUCCAGCCAUGCCGCGUGAGUGAAGAAGGCCUUCGGGUUGUAAAGCUCUUUCGGCCGGGAAGAAAUCGCAUGGAUUAAUACUCUGUGCGGAUGACGGUACCGGCAUAAGAAGCACCGGCUAACUACGUGCCAGCAGCCGCGGUAAUA